AAUGAAUAUUAAUUAUAUAUUGUUAUAUAACUACGGUACCUAUAACAUACUUAUUGUUGAGAACCCUUGGUUUAAAACAUAGUUUGUAUUUAGCUAAGUAAGCAAUAUAUUAUUUUUUGGUAACGUCUUCCGUCGCCGAGCGCAUGAAAUGCGAACGACGACGGCAGUCGAGUUAAAACAACGAUUCCGUAUAGUUAUACGUAGAACCUAUUAAAUGUCUUUUUAAAUAAA
Non-coding RNA from Cinara cedri, 231 nucleotides. The record is from the annotation of a GenBank genome assembly. Lineage: Eukaryota; Metazoa; Arthropoda; Insecta; Hemiptera; Aphididae.